Non-coding RNA from Canis lupus familiaris (dog), 139 nucleotides. Lineage: Eukaryota; Metazoa; Chordata; Mammalia; Carnivora; Canidae. The record is from Rfam.
AGCUUUGUGCAGUGGCACUAUCAUAGCCAAUGAAAUUUAUCCCAGGUGUGAUUAUUGCUAAUUAAAAAAUUUAUCCAUAAAGAGCUAUUCUUUUUGAUGUUAUUACAAAUGGAAUUAUUUUAUUAAUUUCAUUUUUGAA